AUGCCCAAAGUAUCCCAAAACCCCUCAGAGGCUCCAGAUGUGGCAGCAGAAACCCCAAAUCCAGAUGUGCUAUGGGCCAGAAAUGGGCACCGGACGCUGCAGGUGGACAGUGACACAGAUGUGGAGGAGGAGGGGCCAAGCCCAGAUGCUGGGCCACAGAAAUGGCUUAAAAUGACCCAAAAUGUGCCUGAAACUCCAGAUGUGAGGCUAAAAACCCCAAAUCCAGAUGUUCCAUGGCUUAAAAGUGGGCGUGGCACGCUGCUGGUGGAGAGCGACACAGAUGUGGAGGAGGAGGAGGCUGAUCCAGAAGUGGAGCCCCCAGAACGGCUGAAAAUUACCCAGAACGUCCCGGAAACUCCAGAUGUUGCAGGAAAGACCCCAAAUCCAGAUGUUGCAGGCCCAAAAAUACGACACAGGGUGGAGCUGGUGGACAGUGACACAGAUGUGGACGAGGAUCCAGAUGUGCAGCCCCAGAAAAGGCUUAAAGUGACCCAAAACGUGCCUGGAAUUCCAGAUGUGGAGGUGGAAACCUCAAGUCCAGCUGUGAGGGCGCCCAAAAUUGGACACUGGGUAAUCCUGAUGGACAGCGACACAGAUGUGGAGGGGGAGGAGCAGAAUCCAGAUGUGCAGCCCCAAAAACAACUCAGAAUGCCCCAAAAUGUGUCCGAAACUCCAGAUGUGGCAGCAAAACGCCUGAAUCCAGAUGUUUCGGGCCCAAAACUCUGUUCUCAGAUGCUGCUGGUGGACAGUGAUACAGAUGUGGAAGACGAAGUGAAUCCAGAUGUGCAGCCCCCUAAAAGGCUCAAAGUGACCCAAAACGUGCACAGAAAUCCAGAUGUGGAGGUGGCGACCCCAAAUCCAGCUGUGGAGAGCCCCAGAAUUGGCCUCCAGACACUGGUGGAGGACAGCGACACAGAUGUGGAGGACGAUCCAGAUGUGCAGCCCCCAAAAAGGCUCAGAAGGACUCAGCACUUGCCCAAAGCUCCAGCUGUGCGACGGGGGAUGCAAAAUCCAGAUGUUCCAGUCCCCACAAUCAGGAGCCAGAUGCUGCUGGUGGACAGCGACACAGAUGUGGAGGAGGAUCCAGAUGUGCAGCCCCUGAAACAGCUCAGAGCGACCCAAAACAUCCCCGAAACGCCAGAUGUGGCUGCGAAGCCCCCAAAUCCAGAUGUUUCAGGCCCUGAAAUCAGGUGCCAGGCAUUCCUGGUGGACAGUGACACAGAUGUGGAGGAGGAGGAGGAGGUGAGUCCAGAUGCUGAGACCCUCAAAAAACUUGGAAUGACCCAAAAUGUGCUUGAAAGUCCAGAUGUGGUGGCACAGACCCCAAGCCCAGAUGUUGGAAUGACCCAAAAUGGGUAUCGGGCACUGCUGGUGGACAGUGACACAGAUGUGGAGGAGGAUGAGGUGAAUCCAGAUGUUUGUCAUUCAAAAAGAUGGAAGAUUCCUCAAAAUGUGCCCCAGACUCCAGAUGUGCCCCCACAGCCCCCAAAUCCAGCUGUGAAGAGGUCACGGAGGGGUCACGGGGUGCUGCUGGAUGACAGCGACACAGAUGUGGACGAGGAGGCAAAGCCAGAUGUUGGAUCCUUAAAAAGAUUGAAACCAGCCCCAAACGUGCCUGAAACUCCAGAUGUGAGGCUGAAAAAUCCAGAUGUUGGGAGGCUCCAAGAGACCCAAACUGUGGCCGAGACGCCAGAUGCGGAGGGAGAGGAGGAAGGGUGGGAUCCAGAUGUGGCCACCCAGCUGUUCCUGCCCCCAAAUCCAGAUGUGGGGGAGGCCGAGGCGGACCCAGAUGUUGGGAGCCCAGAACGACUCAAAAUGACCCAGAAGCCCCCGGAAAUUCCAGAUGUGGAGGAGGAAGAGGAGUCAGAUCCAGAUGUGGCCACCCAGCUGUUCCUGCCUUCUCCAGAUGUUGGGAGCCCAGAAGGCCCCAAAACGGCCCCAAAGGACCCCAAAGUUCCAGAUGUAGAGGGGCUGCCCUCUCUGGAUCCAGAUGUGGCCACACAGCUGUUCCUGCCUCCACAUCCAGGUGUGGAGGACAGCCUAAAUCCAGAUGUUCUGGGUCCAAAACAAUCCAAAAUGGCCUCAAAUGACCCCAAGAUUCCCGCUGUGAGGGUGGAGACCCCAGAUCCAGAUGUGGAGGGGGAGGAGGACUUGGAUGUGGCCACCCAGCUGUUCCUGCCCCCUGAUCCAGAUGUGCAGGGGGAAGGACCCUCAGAACGAGGUGUUGGGUCCCCAAACCCACCCAAAAGUGCCCUAAACCUGCCCGACAUUCCAGAUGUGGACAUGGAGAGACCAAAUCCAGAUGUGGGGGAGUCACUGAGGGGCCACAGGACAUUGCUGGGGGAUGCUGAUCCAGAUGUGGGGAAGGUGGGCCCAAAUCCAGAUGUGGCAGCCUCAAAAAGACCCCAAACGGCCCCGGAAGUCCCUGAAAUUCCAGAUGUGGAGGUGGACACCCCAAGUCCAGAUGUGGACGGGCCGGGGAGCCCUGGCCUGAAUCCAGAUGUGGCCACCCAGCUGUUCCUGCCCCCUGCCCCAGAUGUGGAACCCCUGGAAAGACCCGAAAGGGCCCCGGACCAGCCCCAGGUUCCAGAUGUGGAGGAGGCGGCCCCAAAUCCAGAUGUGGAGGGUCCCCCAAGCCCCGCCCAGGAGGAAGCAGAAGCUCCGCCCACCCCACAGGUGAAUUUUGGGGGGUCCAGAGUGAUUUUUGGGGUCUCUGGUCCAUUUGGGAGCCCCCUGGGGAUUCAGGGAGGGUUCCAGGUGGAUUUUUUGGGGUUUCCCGUGAAUUUGGGGGGUCCCAGGUAGAAUUUUGGGGUUCCCGGUGGAUUUUGGGAGACCCAGGGUGGUUUGGGGGGGUCUCAGGUGAAUUUUUUGGGUGAUUUUUGGGGGGUCCCAGGUGGAAUUUAGGGCGAAUUUGGGGAUUUUGGGGGUGGCCGGUGGAUUUUGGCGGUUCCUGGGAGGGUUUUGUGGAUCCCCAAUGGAAUUUGGGGUGAAUUUGGGGGAUUUGUGGNUUUCUUUGGGCCUCAAAAUCACAAUUUGGGUUCAAAACCUCUUUCCCAAAGCUAAAAAAAAAAAAAAAUCGCUUUUUAGUGUUAAAAACUCCAAUUUGAAACGUUUUGGAAAAGAAAGAUUUCAGCGUGGGGCAGGAAAUGGAAAUGUUCAUUUCGGGGGCAGGAAAUGCGGUCUGGAGACACAAAGAGAGGGGGAUGGGGCUGAAAAGGACGAUUUUGCGACAACAAGCAACAUUUAAAAAAGAAAAAAACUAAGAACUAUUGGGUUAAAGGAGGCCGUUUUGUGGGUGAAGUGGAUAUUCAGAGGGAAAAAGGGAUUUUUGAAGCAUAAAAAUGACAUUUGGGUCGGAAAAAUUGCAAAUUUCGAGGCCCAAAACAAAAUUUUUUGGGCAAAAAAUCACCAGUUUGUGCAAAAAAAAAAAAAAGAAAAAAAAAGAAAAAAAGAGAAAAAUUUAAACAAACCCCGUUAAUUUUGGAGAAAAAGCGGCGAUUUUGAGGCUAGAAAAAAGCGGAUUUGGAAGCACAAAGCUGCGAUUCUUCCCCCGACCCUCCAUUUUGGGGCUGGAAACCUCCAUUUUGGGGCUGGGAGCUCCCUCCGAGCUGCAGAAAAUCCCGAUUUUAACCCUCAUUUCUACUUCUGGAAAAUAAAUCCAGUCCUUUUUCUCCUCCA
Zonotrichia albicollis (white-throated sparrow) is the source of this 3678-nucleotide long non-coding RNA. Lineage: Eukaryota; Metazoa; Chordata; Aves; Passeriformes; Passerellidae. The record is from Ensembl.